UGUGGGCUGAAGUAGUGCUU
Molecule: microRNA, 20 nt
Filed under: Schistosoma japonicum
Lineage: Eukaryota; Metazoa; Platyhelminthes; Trematoda; Strigeidida; Schistosomatidae
Description: miRNA-3112
Source: RNAcentral